UACGGAGGGUGCAAACGUUGCUCGGAAUCAUUGGGCGUAAAGCGCACGUAGGCGGCCUGAUAAGUCGGGUGUGAAAGCCCUGGGCUCAACCCAGGAAGUGCACUCGAAACUGUCAGGCUUGAAUAUGGAAGAGGGUCGCGGAAUUCCCGGUGUAGAGGUGAAAUUCGUAGAUAUCGGGAGGAACACCAGUGGCGAAGGCGGCGACCUGGGCCAAUAUUGACGCUGAGGUGGCGAAAGCGUGGGGAGCAAACAGG
This 254-nucleotide ribosomal RNA is filed under the name uncultured bacterium. RNAcentral's name for it is "partial 16S ribosomal RNA". It matches the Rfam family "Bacterial small subunit ribosomal RNA", at positions 524 to 776 of the family's 1533-position model. The record is from RNAcentral.